AGAAAGAAAGAAACAAUUGGCUUUCUGCUGAACUCCAGGAAUGAAAUAAAAGGAAAAGUGAAUACAGAUAAAGAAGAGAGCUCAUCCCUUUUGCCAUUUAAGAAAUGGCCUAUUGUCCGGCCUCUGUAAGGAAAUGGCGUUGCUGUGCAGGGCCUUGAAAAGUACAGUAGCCCAGUGCAACAGCUGGCACACAGGGCAGGCAUUGAGAGAACAGGCGAGAAGAGUGACCGAUGGAGGAGGGAGCGGACGUGGG
This 253-nucleotide long non-coding RNA is filed under the name Bos indicus x Bos taurus (hybrid cattle). RNAcentral describes it as "lncRNA (ENSBIXG00005013404.1)". Lineage: Eukaryota; Metazoa; Chordata; Mammalia; Artiodactyla; Bovidae. The record is from RNAcentral.